Long non-coding RNA from Ornithodoros turicata, 356 nucleotides. RefSeq lists it as uncharacterized. Lineage: Eukaryota; Metazoa; Arthropoda; Arachnida; Ixodida; Argasidae. The transcript is spliced from 2 exons. The record is from RefSeq and is a predicted model, not a curated record.
UCCGUUCCGGAUGCUAGAGAUUUUUCGUGACGUACUUCCUGUUUAGCGUCGGCAGACGAUCUUCGAGGCACGCACGCAAAAUACGGAGUGGCUAUGUUGCCAAAUGCUUCCAUUUCGGGAAACGAUUUCAAGAUACCUGCCCUGAUCCAAAUCGGACGCCUGAACAGUCUACAAAAUUACCCAUUGUAAUUCCAGAAAGGAAUAAGACGGCACGCGUCACUGGCACCUACGCGUGCCACCUGGCGGACAUCUUUUCGUGCAUGACGACCGCGUUUCUUCGUCGCCAGAGGUCGACACGCUUCAAGAGGUUCAUGCGGCUGUGUGGGUGGUAAUAAGUAAAGAUGUCUAGAAAAAGA